RNAcentral lists this transfer RNA (75 nucleotides) under Armatimonadota bacterium. RNAcentral describes it as "Armatimonadetes bacterium (wastewater metagenome) tRNA-Cys". It matches the Rfam family "tRNA". Rfam says of the family: Transfer RNA (tRNA) molecules are approximately 80 nucleotides in length. Their secondary structure includes four short double-helical elements and three loops (D, anti-codon, and T loops). The record is from RNAcentral. Lineage: Bacteria; Bacillati; Armatimonadota.
GGCGUGGUACCCAAGUGGUAAGGGAGCGGUCUGCAAAACCGUUAUGCACGAGUUCGAAUCUCGUCCACGCCUCCA